UAUCUUUAUUCUCAAUAAACCAUAUACAUAGGUAUAGAGAAGACAUGCAAUUAUGUACAAUAUUUACAACAAGACAGAGCAAACAAAAUAGUUGCUAAGAAAAUAUCUGAAGUCCAUUUUAGCCAGGAGCACAUACACCUGUGUUAAUAAUCUUUAUGAAUUUACAUAAUUUAAUCAAUACUGAUUUGCUUUUUGAAGACAUAAUCUGUUUGUAUUUGACAAUAUUUGCAUUUUGUAAAUAAUAAUGUGACAGA
This 254-nucleotide long non-coding RNA is filed under the name Mytilus galloprovincialis (Mediterranean mussel). Lineage: Eukaryota; Metazoa; Mollusca; Bivalvia; Mytilida; Mytilidae. The record is from RNAcentral.